Molecule: long non-coding RNA, 543 nt
Organism: Oreochromis aureus
Lineage: Eukaryota; Metazoa; Chordata; Actinopteri; Cichliformes; Cichlidae
Source: Ensembl
GUUUGAACAUGGCCUCGAAACGGCAACAGGAGUCGGGAGCGGAGAAAAGAAAGAAGAGGAAGCGUGAUGAAACUCAGGCGUCGCUUGCCGGGUCAAUGCUUAAAUAUGUUCAAGGAGGAUCUCAAGGACAGGAUGAACCAUCCAGUAGUAGUGCCAUCCCUGGACAUCAACCACCAGCCAUUGUAGACCCUGCAACAAUCCCUAGCCAAGAAGAACAAGAACCAUCAACCACCAGUUCAGAUAUCCUGGACGUGUUUUGACAUUAAAUUCCUGCGCUACAUAAGUAGUUUGUGCACAGUCUACAUCAACCCUUCAACACGCACAGGUAAGAAUGACAGUUGUGACUUGUAACAUUUAUUCCUAACCUGGUCUUCUCUUGCCUCCUCUGGUCUCCAUGGAAGAGCAUGUCCACAAAAAAGUCAAGGUUGGACUUAGACCACACUUUAUCUUCUGUGCAAUACAGGCUAGAAAAGUCCAUGACAUAACUGGACCACUUUUGGCUUUGUAAAAUGUCCUUUGUAUAGGAUAAGGUGUGGUUGUACA